CCUACGGGUGGCAGCAGUGGGGAAUAUUGGACAAUGGGGGGAACCCUGAUCCAGCCAUGCCGCGUGUGUGAAGAAGGCCCUCGGGUUGUAAAGCACUUUCAGUGAGGAAGAACGCCUGGUGGUUAAUACCCAUCAGGAAAGACAUCACUCACAGAAGAAGCACCGGCUAACUCCGUGCCAGCAGCCGCGGUAAUACGGAGGGUGCGAGCGUUAAUCGGAAUUACUGGGCGUAAAGCGCGCGUAGGUGGCUUGAUAAGCCGGUUGUGAAAGCCCCGGGCUCAACCUGGGAACGGCAUCCGGAACUGUCAAGCUAGAGUGCAGGAGAGGAAGGUAGAAUUCCCGGUGUAGCGGUGAAAUGCGUAGAGAUCGGGAGGAAUACCAGUGGCGAAGGCGGCCUUCUGGACUGACACUGACACUGAGGUGCGAAAGCGUGGGUAGCAAACAGGAUUAGAUACCCUGGUAGUC
This 465-nucleotide ribosomal RNA is filed under the name Vreelandella stevensii. RNAcentral describes it as "partial 16S ribosomal RNA". It matches the Rfam family "Bacterial small subunit ribosomal RNA", at positions 338 to 795 of the family's 1533-position model. Lineage: Bacteria; Pseudomonadati; Pseudomonadota; Gammaproteobacteria; Oceanospirillales; Halomonadaceae. The record is from RNAcentral.